AUUGACUUGAAACUUAGUACACAUGUCCUAUGAUAUGAUCUUUCUAAUUUUAAUGCCAAAUUAGAGUUUUUACCCCAAUUUCACGGUCCACUGAACAUAGAAAAUGAUAGUGCGCGUGGGGCAUCCGUGUACUUGGGACACAUUCUUGUUUUGUAUAGAUUAGACCGUGGGAAAAACGAAAAACAGUAAAAAGACAUUCAACAGUUUACAAAACACAACAUACAAAACUUAAGACUGAGCAAGACCUACCCCACCAAACACUGGGAAUGGUCUGCGGUUCUGCUCCAAAUAUGUCACCCGUCAUGUUACUCAUGUAGGCAUUCAUGAUGACAAUCAUAUAUCGUAGUGUUAGGGACAGUAUGCUUCCAUCUUGAUGUCACUAUAUUUUGUUUUUUUUCAAAGCAAGUUUGUAUUUAUAGAUAUUAAUUUCCCUUCCAAACUCAGCUUUAGUAAUACGUUAAAAAAAGUUGUCAUUUAAUAGGACAUUUCAAUAAGAGAUAUGAAGUUAGGGAAUG
RNAcentral lists this long non-coding RNA (515 nucleotides) under Mytilus galloprovincialis (Mediterranean mussel). The record is from RNAcentral. Lineage: Eukaryota; Metazoa; Mollusca; Bivalvia; Mytilida; Mytilidae.